AUAGGUGUGCUGGCUGCAGCCACUUCCCUCACCCACACUUUAUCUCUCACUCUCCAGCCGCUGACAGCCCAUUUUAUUGUCAAUCUCUGUCUUCUUCCCAGGAAUCUGAGAAUUGCUCUCACACACCAACCCAGCAACAUCCGUGGAGAAAACUCUCACCAGCAACUCCUUUAAAACACCGUCAUUUCAAACCAUUGUGGUCUUCAAGCAACAACAGCAGCACAAAAAACCCCAACCAAACAAAACUCUUGACAGAAGCUGUGACAACCAGAAAGGAUGCCUCAUAAAGGGGGAAGACUUUAACUAGGGGUGCGCAGAUGUGUGAGGCCUUUUAUUGUGAGAGUGGACAGACAUCCGAGAUUUCAGAGCCCCAUAUUCGAGCCCCGUGGAAUCCCGCGGCCCCCAGCCAGAGCCAGCAUGCAGAACAGUAAGUGCCUCUGGUCUUUCUGGGACUUCGGGCUCGGGGUGCGCGGACCCGAGGGUCA
Molecule: small RNA, 485 nt
Filed under: Pan troglodytes (chimpanzee)
Lineage: Eukaryota; Metazoa; Chordata; Mammalia; Primates; Hominidae
Description: retained intron
Source: RNAcentral